UCCUACGGGGCGCAGCAGCCGCGGUAAUACGUAGGGGGCUAGCGUUAUCCGGAAUUACUGGGCGUAAAGGGUGCGUAGGUGGUUUCUUAAGUCAGAGGUGAAAGGCUACGGCUCAACCGUAGUAAGCCUUUGAAACUGGGAAACUUGAGUGCAGGAGAGGAGAGUGGAAUUCCUAGUGUAGCGGUGAAAUGCGUAGAUAUUAGGAGGAACACCAGUUGCGAAGGCGGCUCUCUGGACUGUAACUGACACUGAGGCACGAAAGCGUGGGGAGCAAACAGGAUUAGAUACCCUUGUAGUCCGAGAUC
This 305-nucleotide ribosomal RNA is filed under the name uncultured bacterium. Its description in RNAcentral is "bacterial SSU rRNA". It matches the Rfam family "Bacterial small subunit ribosomal RNA", at positions 499 to 802 of the family's 1533-position model. The record is from RNAcentral.